This 332-nucleotide ribosomal RNA is filed under the name Cyphodillidium absoloni. Its description in RNAcentral is "partial large subunit ribosomal RNA". The record is from RNAcentral. Lineage: Eukaryota; Metazoa; Arthropoda; Malacostraca; Isopoda; Armadillidiidae.
AGGUAGCAUAAUAAUUUGUUAUUUAAUUUAUAACUAGAAUAAAUGAUCUGACAAAAAACCCUCUUUAUUAAUCUUCCUUGAAAUUAAUUUAAAAAUAAAAAAGUCUUUAUAUAUUAGAAAGACGAUAAGACCCUAAAACCUUUAUAUAUAAUAUUUUACUGGGGCGGUAAUUUUUAAUUCACUAAUUUAAGAAACACAAUGAUUGAAAUUAUCUAAUUACUUAAAUUCAAAAAGGUACUUUAGGGAUAACAGCAUAAUUUUUAUGUAGAGAUCUUAUCGAUAAUAAAAAAAGGAUUAUGGACCUCGAUGUUGGAAAUUGGAUUUUACUUGGU